This 580-nucleotide ribosomal RNA is filed under the name uncultured bacterium. RNAcentral describes it as "partial 16S ribosomal RNA". It matches the Rfam family "Bacterial small subunit ribosomal RNA", at positions 355 to 935 of the family's 1533-position model. The record is from RNAcentral.
UGGGGAAUUUUGGACAAUGGGCGAAAGCCUGAUCCAGCAAUGCCGCGUGUGUGAAGAAGGCCUUCGGGUUGUAAAGCACUUUUGUCCGGAAAGAAAUCCUUGGCUCUAAUACAGUCGGGGGAUGACGGUACCGGAAGAAUAAGCACCGGCUAACUACGUGCCAGCAGCCGCGGUAAUACGUAGGGUGCAAGCGUUAAUCGGAAUUACUGGGCGUAAAGCGUGCGCAGGCGGUUUGCUAAGACCGAUGUGAAAUCCCCGGGCUCAACCUGGGAACUGCAUUGGUGACUGGCAGGCUAGAGUAUGGCAGAGGGGGGUAGAAUUCCACGUGUAGCAGUGAAAUGCGUAGAGAUGUGGAGGAAUACCGAUGGCGAAGGCAGCCCCCUGGGCCAAUACUGACGCUCAUGCACGAAAGCGUGGGGAGCAAACAGGAUUAGAUACCCUGGUAGUCCACGCCCUAAACGAUGUCAACUAGUUGUGGGGAUUCAUUUCUUAGUAACGUAGCUAACGCGUGAAGUUGACCGCCUGGGGAGUACGGUCGCAAGAUUAAAACUCAAAUGAAUUGACGGGGUCAUAGCUGUUU